RNAcentral lists this long non-coding RNA (678 nucleotides) under Mus spretus (western wild mouse). RNAcentral describes it as "lncRNA (ENSMSPG00010009076.1)". Lineage: Eukaryota; Metazoa; Chordata; Mammalia; Rodentia; Muridae. The record is from RNAcentral.
CUCUUUUCCAAACACAACAAACUCACCGCCACACACUGCCCUUCCUGUGACCUUGAAUCCAGAGACCACCAGGCCCAAAAGCCACUUGGAGGAUUUCACUACUGUCUCUGUGGUAGUCAGAAGGGCUGAGAGCAGAACGCAGGAGCCAGAAGACAAUGUCAGAACCCCUUGGAACUGGAGUUACAGACAGGUAGGGAAUCCACAACAGACCAAAGCAUGGAUACGCCCCAAGUCCAACGUGGUGAACCGAUGAAUCUCCAAAGCACAACCCAGACACAGGUGACAUCUCUGGGAACCUGAGCACAAGACACAGCUUCAGCGAGCUCAGCAGGUUGGUCACAGACCAGACAACAAAAGGUUCAUCCUCCUGCCUGACCAUCAUCCAUCCAUCAGCAAGACCAUGCUCCAGUUUGGACUUCCUGGAUUCUGCAGCUUCAUGCAGGAGUUAGAGCAUGUGAGGAGAUCAGCUCGGGUCCAUAGCUGGGCCCAACCACCUGCUUCUCUUCCUAUCCUCAGUGUCACAACAAUACAGGAUUCAGUCGUGAGGAUACCCCAGCCCAUCUGCUCAUUGCUCCACACAGCUACUGCCUCCAGGAGUUGAACACCUGUGACAGAGCCAAUUAUCUAGGGAUAGAGGAGCCAAGAGGCUUGGGUUGCCCUUGAGGCUGUAUUUGGGCC